RNAcentral lists this small RNA (118 nucleotides) under unclassified sequences. Its description in RNAcentral is "DUF3268 RNA". It matches the Rfam family "DUF3268 RNA". The record is from Rfam by way of RNAcentral.
GGAUAAGGUCUGUGCUCAGGCUUUCAGUACGAUGUAAGGUACCACAUCGUCAUCACGUGUCCUGCGGACACGGAACUGUUACGGAUUGUACGAAUUAGCGAUCCACACGGCAUAGGCC